AUAAGGUCGACCUGCUGAAGUUCAAACUGAGCACCAGAAACAUGGAGAAAUAUGGGAGUUUAAGUGGCUUUAAGGUUAUUGGCAUAAACUUGGUGGCAGAUGGGCUGCGCUGUGUGUUUUAGCAACUGCUGAUCUACAGGGAUUUCCCACAGACAACCAUCUCCAGAGAGAAUUCUCUGAAAAACAGAAAAGUGAGCGGAAGUUCGGUGAGUAAAAAUAACUUUUUCAUGUCAGAGGUCAGAGGACAAUGGCCAGAGUUCUUUAGAAAGGAAGGCAAAAUAAGCCAAGGUAUGCAGAACAGCAUUGCUAAAUAUACGUUGAACCUUGAAGUAGAUGGGCAGCAGAAGACCAGACUGGGUGCUCAUCCUGUCAGCUGAAACUGUGGCAACACUUUACAUGGGCUCACCCAAACUGCUCAACAGAAAACUUGAAAAAUUUUAUAUAGUCUGACGGGUCUUUCUGCUGGCACGUUCAGAUGGUAUGGUUCAAAUUUGGCGUGAACAUGAAAAGUAUGGAUCUAUCCUGCCCUGUAUUAUGUGGUGGUGGUUUAAUGAUAUGGGGGGUAUUUUCUUGGUUCACUUUGGUCCCCUUAGUACCAACUGACCAUCACACCACAGCCUACCUGAGUAUUGUUGCUGAUCAUGCCCAUCCAGUUAUAACUACAGUGUACCCAUCUUCUGAUGGUUGCUUCUCACAGGAUAACAUACCCAUAAAGCUGACAUCAUCUCAAACUGGUUUCUUGAACAUGAGUUCACUGUACUCAAAUGGCCUCCACGGUCACAAGACGUCAGUCCAACAGAGCAUCUUUGGGACGUUGUUGUUGAAUCCAUGCCAGGAAAAAUUAAGUCAGCUCUGAAGGCAAAAGGGCUUCCAACCAGAAUUCUUCAAAUGGAGAACCAUAGUUGAUUAUACUGCCAUGUGUGGUGUUCAAAAAGAUAACACCAAUAUAAUUCCACAAGGAAAAAAGAAGCCAAAAACGUUAGUUCUUGCAACAAUAUUUGUAUUUUCUUUAUUUCACUGCAAAAACACAUGAAUGAACUGCUAACUCAUUUGCAGCAUAUGUUUUACCUGUGUUAAUACAUAACUGUAUAACUCUCCUGGUUUAAUUAUUACAUGAUGUUAAACAGUGCAAUAAAACCAGCCAAUCACUGCAAAUCAUUCAGGAUGGAAACUUUUCAAUACGUCAUUAGUCCACUUUGUUCAUAUACAUAUUUGGCAUGGCAAACACUUUUUUCUGUUUAUUAUACUCACUGUAAAAAAAUUUUUUUUAAGUAUGAUGUGUGCUCAAGGACUAAGGUGUGUUUAAAUACCAACCAGCACUGAAAUGCAUCACAACCUUCUAACAUGUUUAAAAAUAAGAAACAGCAGAAUCAACACCCAUCUAAUAUGCCUUUCAGUCAUCCCACACAAGUGCAAAUGUCAUGGAUUAUUCAGCUUCGGCUUGAACCAACAUUUA
Molecule: long non-coding RNA, 1456 nt
Organism: Oreochromis niloticus (Nile tilapia)
Lineage: Eukaryota; Metazoa; Chordata; Actinopteri; Cichliformes; Cichlidae
Exons: 2
Source: RefSeq, a predicted model, not a curated record